This 304-nucleotide ribosomal RNA is filed under the name uncultured bacterium. Its description in RNAcentral is "partial 16S ribosomal RNA". It matches the Rfam family "Bacterial small subunit ribosomal RNA", at positions 506 to 807 of the family's 1533-position model. The record is from RNAcentral.
CAGCAGCAGCCACGGUAAUACGGAGGGUGCAAGCGUUAUCCGGAUUUAUUGGGUUUAAAGGGUCCGUAGGCGGAUCUGUAAGUCAGUGGUGAAAUCUCACAGCUUAACUGUGAAACUGCCAUUGAUACUGCAGGUCUUGAGUAAAUUUGAAGUGGCUGGAAUAAGUAGUGUAGCGGUGAAAUGCAUAGAUAUUACUUAGAACACCAAUUGCGAAGGCAGGUCACUAAGAUUUAACUGACGCUGAUGGACGAAAGCGUGGGGAGCGAACAGGAUUAGAUACCCCAGUAGUCCCUGUCUCUUAUAC